RNAcentral lists this ribosomal RNA (495 nucleotides) under uncultured bacterium. RNAcentral's name for it is "partial 16S ribosomal RNA". It matches the Rfam family "Bacterial small subunit ribosomal RNA", at positions 29 to 506 of the family's 1533-position model. The record is from RNAcentral.
AUGCACGCUGGCGGCGUGCCUAAUACAUGCAAGUCGAGCGAACAGACGAGGAGCUUGCUCCUCUGACGUUAGCGGCGGACGGGUGAGUAACACGUGGAUAACCUACCUAUAAGACUGGGAUAACUUCGGGAAACCGGAGCUAAUACCGGAUAAUAUAUUGAACCGCAUGGUUCAAUAGUGAAAGACGGUUUUGCUGUCACUUAUAGAUGGAUCCGCGCCGCAUUAGCUAGUUGGUAAGGUAACGGCUUACCAAGGCAACGAUGCGUAGCCGACCUGAGAGGGUGAUCGGCCACACUGGAACUGAGACACGGUCCAGACUCUUACGGGAGGCAGCAGUAGGGAAUCUUCCGCAAUGGGCGAAAGCUUGACGGAGCAACGCCGCGUGAGUGAUGAAGGUCUUCGGAUCGUAAAACUCUGUUAUUAGGGAAGAACAAAUGUGUAAGUAACUAUGCACGUCUUGACGGUACCUAAUCAGAAAGCCACGGCUAACUACGU